RNAcentral lists this ribosomal RNA (255 nucleotides) under uncultured bacterium. RNAcentral's name for it is "partial 16S ribosomal RNA". It matches the Rfam family "Bacterial small subunit ribosomal RNA", at positions 526 to 779 of the family's 1533-position model. The record is from RNAcentral.
CGUAGGGCGCAAGCGUUAUCCGGAAUUAUUGGGCGUAAAGAGCUCGUAGGCGGUUUGUCGCGUCUGCCGUGAAAGUCCGGGGCUUAACUCCGGAUCUGCGGUGGGUACGGGCAGACUAGGGUGCAGUAGGGGAGACUGGAAUUCCUGGUGUAGCGGUGAAAUGCGCAGAUAUCAGGAGGAACACCGAUGGCGAAGGCAGGUCUCUGGGCUGUAACUGACGCUGAGGAGCGAAAGCAUGGGGGAGCGAACAGGAUU